This 200-nucleotide ribosomal RNA is filed under the name Pseudomonas aeruginosa. RNAcentral's name for it is "partial 23S ribosomal RNA". It matches the Rfam family "Bacterial large subunit ribosomal RNA", at positions 1473 to 1666 of the family's 2925-position model. Lineage: Bacteria; Pseudomonadati; Pseudomonadota; Gammaproteobacteria; Pseudomonadales; Pseudomonadaceae. The record is from RNAcentral.
CGGAGAAGGCUAGGCCAGCUUGGCGUUGGUUGUCCAAGUUUAAGGUGGUAGGCUGAAAUCUUAGGUAAAUCCGGGGUUUCAAGGCCGAGAGCUGAUGACGAGUCGUCUUUUAGAUGACGAAGUGGUUGAUGCCAUGCUUCCAAGAAAAGCUUCUAAGCUUCAGGUAACCAGGAACCGUACCCCAAACCGACACAGGUGGU